GAGGGUUUUGCUCAGUGGUAGAGUGCCUGCUUAGCAUACUCGAGGUACUGGGUUCAAUCCCCAGUACCUCCA
Molecule: transfer RNA, 72 nt
Filed under: Camelus bactrianus (Bactrian camel)
Lineage: Eukaryota; Metazoa; Chordata; Mammalia; Artiodactyla; Camelidae
Also listed under: 2 other names
Rfam family: tRNA
About the family: Transfer RNA (tRNA) molecules are approximately 80 nucleotides in length. Their secondary structure includes four short double-helical elements and three loops (D, anti-codon, and T loops).
Source: Rfam by way of RNAcentral